RNAcentral lists this ribosomal RNA (481 nucleotides) under uncultured bacterium. RNAcentral describes it as "bacterial SSU rRNA". It matches the Rfam family "Bacterial small subunit ribosomal RNA", at positions 28 to 526 of the family's 1533-position model. The record is from RNAcentral.
GACGAACGCUGGCGGCGUGCUUAACACAUGCAAGUCGAGCGGUAAGGCCUUUCGGGGUACACGAGCGGCGAACGGGUGAGUAACACGUGAGUAAUCUGCCCUUCACUCUGGGAUAACCUCUGGAAACGGUGGCUAAUACCGGAUAUGACCUCCUUCCGCAUGGUGGGUGGUGGAAAGUUUUUUCGGUGGGGGAUGAGCUCGCGGCCUAUCAGCUUGUUGGUGGGGUGAUGGCCUACCAAGGCGACGACGGGUAGCCGGCCUGAGAGGGUGACCGGCCACACUGGGACUGAGACACGGCCCAGACUCCUACGGGAGGCAGCAGUGGGGAAUAUUGGACAAUGGGCGGAAGCCUGAUCCAGCAACGCCGCGUGAGGGAUGACGGCCUUCGGGUUGUAAACCUCUUUCAGUAGGGACGAAGCGUGAGUGACGGUACCUACAGAAGAAGGACCGGCCAACUACGUGCCAGCCGCCGCCGUAACAC